RNAcentral lists this small nucleolar RNA (135 nucleotides) under Labrus bergylta (ballan wrasse). Its description in RNAcentral is "Small nucleolar RNA SNORA27 (ENSLBEG00000001720.1)". Lineage: Eukaryota; Metazoa; Chordata; Actinopteri; Labriformes; Labridae. The record is from RNAcentral.
UCGCCCCUGUUAGCUUUGCCCACUUGAGGUUUUAAGUAUCUUGAGUGGCCAUUAUUAGGGGCUAGAAUAUAAUCCUCUCUUAAACCUGGGUCAGGGGUCUCACCCCUUCCUCUGGACCUUUUGGGAGGAACAAGA